GGCCCCAUCGUCUAAUGGUUAGGACGCUGCCCUUUCAAGGCGGAAAUCCGGGUUCGAUUCCCGGUAGGGUCA
RNAcentral lists this transfer RNA (72 nucleotides) under Patescibacteria group bacterium. RNAcentral's name for it is "tRNA-Glu". It matches the Rfam family "tRNA". Rfam says of the family: Transfer RNA (tRNA) molecules are approximately 80 nucleotides in length. Their secondary structure includes four short double-helical elements and three loops (D, anti-codon, and T loops). Further hydrogen bonds mediate the characteristic L-shaped molecular structure. tRNAs have two regions of fundamental functional importance: the anti-codon, which is responsible for specific mRNA codon recognition, and the 3' end, to which the tRNAs corresponding amino acid is attached (by aminoacyl-tRNA synthetases). tRNAs cope with the degeneracy of the genetic code in two manners: having more than one tRNA (with a specific anti-codon) for a particular amino acid; and 'wobble' base-pairing, i.e. permitting non-standard base-pairing at the 3rd anti-codon position. The record is from RNAcentral.